AAGAAUAUUUGCUGCCGAGCGUAGCGAGGCAGCACACUAUUCUUGACACGUGGUGGUUGUUCCAGAGUCCACUCGACCCAGUCUUUCGCGCGACCUAUGUAUAGUCGACAUCUCGAUCUUGUGUCCGUCUGUAAAGAUGUCGUAAUCCGGGGGGAAUAAUUAAAAGCUUCAGGAACGUUUGUUAAAUGAGGGGAGCGGUCAAAACAAAAUUUUGUAUUGCACACGCAUCUCCAUGUGCUCAAGAGUUUUCAAGCUUUUAAAUACGGAUGCAAGAAAUCGAAAAUAUCGGGAAAAUUCAGGUAAAUAUGGCUCUAUUUCUUUCUUCUUAUAUAAAUCAAGGCGAUGAUUUUUUUAGUGUUCAAUCUAGAGGCAAACAAUGUGCUUUUAUCAGUUAAUAUCGCCACUUUUAACUGCCCAAAAUAUACCACUGAUCGAUUGGUCAAAAACAACAUUGAAUAAUGUCUUAUUACAAGGAGACAAAAUGUACUUGCAAGCUCUGGAUAAUGGCUUUGUUGUCUUAGAACCUGGUGUCGAAUGUGUGUCUGUAUAGAUAACUUACCUAAAGUUGUCAGUGUUUCAUGUUAUACGAACAUGUUUCCUUACGAGAUAUGUGAUCGACACACGUAAUAUGCCAGCUGCAGACUGCAGUGCAUGCGAAAACCACUACAACACAUGUGAAUCCUUUUGAUGCACACAAUAACGAUACUAUAAAGCCCAUUGAGGCAAAAACUAUUGAUCUGUCCAUUGUGGUAGAGCCCAUUGAGGCAAAAACUAGUUAUAAACAUUGUAUUGAUAUAUUGGUGCAAGUAUUUCACUUGUGUAUGCCAAAAAUUGGCAGAACAUAUUGCACGUUUUAGUCAAGCUAUAGUGUCAUUUUAUACGACUUUUUAUACUCAAAUGUCAUGCUACAUUAUAUUCCACUGUUGCUGAGAAUGGCAAAUGACACAGCUAAAAACGCACAGGUUGUUGCAAGUUGAUAUCGACAGGCAUGAACAAUGUUGUGCGGCCAACAAUGAACAAGUUGUCAACCAUGUUGUUCCAAGUUGUCAGGCAUGAACAAUGUUGUGUGGCCAACUAUGAACAAGUUGUCAACCAUGUUGUUCCAAGUUGUUACAGUUCCCAAGAGUGCAAUGGGAUACGUUCCAUUGCACUCUUUGCGAGUGCAAUUGUACUAUACGUGAUAAUCAGUCUUAAUUUGCAACUAAUUGAUAAUCAGGCUUAAUUUAAAGGGGCCCUACAAUCAUUUUUUAGUUGAAAAGCCACCUUUAGGUAUUGUUUACAUUUCUUGUUAUUGUUGCUACUUGACAUGCGCACCACAGCAUGCAUGCACCUUCCGGUGUGCGGAAGUAGUCAUACUCAUAGAUACUGCAUGUAAGAUACAGCCAAACGAACCUGCUUGAAGUCCACUACUUAAGGUGGUUUUUCGACUAAAAAAUGACUGUAGGGCACUUUAAUAAUCUGUGAAUCAAAUCGAAACCUUGACAUCUCCCCCGGGCAUACCCCCGAGAACUUGGAUUUUGACGUUUUGGUCAGGUCAAAUUCCCUACAUAUAUUUGUAAUUCCUGUUCAAAUACACCAUGUAUUGUGAAAAAUUGGAGUUCAAAUAACCCACCCCAUGUAUGAAUUAGAGCUACAGCAUUUCAUAAUUUUGGAAUUACAAAGUUUUUCUUUCCUUCACAAACGAUCUCUUCAAUCAUUCAAAGCCGUUUUCUUGUAGCCAACCAAAGACAAAGUUAAUUUCUUCACACUUGAACUCAUCCAUUGUCAUUGACACCAUUUUGGAUUCAGCACAUGUGUUUAAUUAAAUUCCCGGGUCAAAUUCGAGUCAAAUUCCCGACCCCCUAUAAGCAAAUUCCCCACCUUCCACUACAAAAAAAGUCAAAUUCCCGCCUUCUUCAAACACUAAACAAGCAAAUGCCAGGGGGGGAUGUCAAGGUUUCGAUUUGAUUCGCGCAGAAGAUUCCUAUAGCAACCCAGUGUGGAUUGUUGUUUGCAUAUAUUAACUUACCAGCAGUAAUAGAUAUUAUGUCCAUUGUUAGCAUAAUAUGAAGUAAUUUUAUCGGCCUAUUCAUAUGUUCACCUGACUGUGUCACUACAUUUCAGCGGGUAUACUAUAUUUUUCGAUAAUGCUCACAAUUUUUUUCUUAUUAUAUAGUUUUGCAGUUCUGGCUGAGUACAAUCUUAAUCAUUACAAUGAAUGGUGUCAUCUGAAGCUGAUGUAUUAAUUAAACAAAAAUGUCAACAAGGGUAGCCAUGAAGGUGCCAUUAAAACAAUAUUUGGGACAAAAACUGACUUAGUAUUUCUAUAUACAGUAUGAUAUUAUACAGUAUUCAGUGGCAAGCUAGUCAUGGCAACUGGUAAUGCUAUAUGCUAAUAAACCUACAACAUUUGAAUAAUCUAAAUAAUAAAUUUGCAUAGCAUGACCUAGCUGUUGCUAUUGCUAGCUUUGCCACAGAAAGUAUUAUAAUUAUACACACAAAAGUAAGAAAUUAUAAUUAUUGAAGGUACUGUAUUCAUAUUAUACCGUCUAUGCAGGCCAAGCUAAGAAAGUAGAAUUAGAAUAUUUAGCUGACCUCCGACUUUGUGCAAGGUGUUUGAUAUUCAAAUUGCAUUUUUCCUACUUCCUGA
This is a non-coding RNA of Paramuricea clavata, 2629 nucleotides long. The record is from the annotation of a GenBank genome assembly. NCBI's taxonomy places the organism in Eukaryota, Metazoa, Cnidaria, Anthozoa, Malacalcyonacea, Plexauridae.